Molecule: ribosomal RNA, 440 nt
Filed under: uncultured bacterium
Lineage: Bacteria
Description: partial 16S ribosomal RNA
Rfam family: Bacterial small subunit ribosomal RNA
Source: RNAcentral
CCUACGGGUGGCUGCAGUGGGGAAUAUUGGACAAUGGGGGGAACCCUGAUCCAGCGACGCCGCGUGAGUGAAGAAGUAUUUCGGUAUGUAAAGCUCUAGCAGCAGGGAAGAAAAUGACGGUACCUGCCUAAGAAGCCCCGGCUACCUCCGUCCCAGCAGCCGCGGUAAUACGUAGGGGGAAAGCGUGAUCCGGAUUUACUGGGUGUAAAGGGAGCGUAGACGGUGCAGCAAGUCUGAUGGGAAAGGUCGGGGCCCAACCCCGGGACUGCAUGGGAAACUGUUGAACUGGAGUACAGGAGAGGUAAGCGGAAGUCCUAGUGUAGCGGUGAAAUGCGUAGAUAUUAGGAGGAACACCAGUGGCGAAGGCGGCUUACUGGACUGUAACUGACGUUGAGGCUCGAAAGCGUGGGGAGCAAACAGGAUUAGAUACCCGUGUAGUC